UCAUCAUGCCCCUUAUGACCUGGGCUACACACGUGCUACAAUGGUUGGUACAACGAGUCGCAAGCCGGUGACGGCAAGCUAAUCUCUUAAAGCCAAUCUCAGUUCGGAUUGUAGGCUGCAACUCGCCUACAUGAAGUCGGAAUCGCUAGUAAUCGCGGAUCAGCACGCCGCGGUGAAUACGUUCCCGGGCCUUGUACACACCGCCCGUCACACCACGAGAGUUUGUAACACCCGAAGUCGGUGAGGUAACCUAUUAGGAGCCAGCCGCCUAAGGUGGGAUAGAUGAUUGGGGUGAAGUCGUAACAAGGUAGCCGUAUCGGAAGGUGCGGCUGGAUCACCUCCUUU
Molecule: ribosomal RNA, 345 nt
Filed under: Streptococcus pyogenes
Lineage: Bacteria; Bacillati; Bacillota; Bacilli; Lactobacillales; Streptococcaceae
Also listed under: 1 other name
Description: bacterial SSU rRNA
Rfam family: Bacterial small subunit ribosomal RNA
Source: RNAcentral